Molecule: RNA transcript, 988 nt
Organism: Mastomys coucha (southern multimammate mouse)
Lineage: Eukaryota; Metazoa; Chordata; Mammalia; Rodentia; Muridae
Gene name: aldo-keto reductase family 1 member B1 pseudogene
Exons: 1
Source: RefSeq, a predicted model, not a curated record
UGAAAAUUAAAAUAAAAAACAGUCAUUGACACUUUUGCCUGUCUGGGUGUGUAAUGUGCAGCAAUCAUGGCCAGCCAUCUGGAACUCAGCAACGGCACCAAACUGACCACUCUGGGCCUGGGCACCUGGAAGUCCCCUCCUGGCCAGGUGGUGGAGGCUAUGAAGGUUGCUAUUGAUAUGGGAUGUCGCCACAUUGACUGCACCCAGGUAUUUCAGAAUGAGAAAGAGGUGGGAGUGGCCUUCCAGGAGAAGCUCCAGGAUCUCUUCAUUGUCAGCAAGCUGUAGAGCAUGGUGAAAGGAGCCUGGCAGAAGACACUCAGCAACCUGCAGCUAGACUGCCUGCAUCUCUACCUUAUUCACUGGCCAAGGGGCUUCAAACCUGGGCCCGAUUAUUUCCCACUGGAUGCAUCAGGAAACAUGAUUCCUAGAGACACCGACUUUGUGGACACUUGGAAGGCUAUGGAACAACUAGUGGAUGAAGCAAUUGUUGUCUCCAACUUCAGCCCUUUUCAGAUUGAGAGGAUCUUGAACAAACCUGGGUUAAGAUAUAAACCUGCUGUUAGCCAGAUUGAGUGCCACUCAUACCUAACUCAGGAGAAGCUGACUGAGUACUGCCAUUGCAAAGGCAUCGUGGUGACUGCAUACAGUCCCCUUGGUUCUCCUGACAGGCCCCGGGCCAAGCCUGAAGACCCUUCUCUCCUGGAGGAUCCCAGGAUCAAGGCAAUCGCGGUCAAGUACAAUAAAGCGACAGCCCAGGUGCUGAUCCAGUUUCUUAUUCAGAGGAACUUGGUAGUGAUCCCCAAGGCUGCGACACCAGAGUGCAUUGCUGAGAACUUUGAGGUCUUUGACUUCGAGCUAAGCAGCAAGGACGUGACCACUCUACUCAGCUACAACAGGAACUGAAGGGUGUGCACCAUGAUGAGCUGUGCGAACCACAAGGAUGACCCCUUCCACACACAAGGCUGAAGCUGCGGUGGUCCAUCCCUGU